This is a long non-coding RNA of Melanotaenia boesemani (Boeseman's rainbowfish), 227 nucleotides long. RefSeq lists it as uncharacterized. The transcript has 3 exons. Lineage: Eukaryota; Metazoa; Chordata; Actinopteri; Atheriniformes; Melanotaeniidae. The record is from RefSeq and is a predicted model, not a curated record.
GACGUCUCAGGAAACAGACAAGUUAGAGGUGGAGGUAGAGGACGUUUCAGGAAACAGACAGGCUAGAGGUGGAGAUAGAGGAUGUUUCAGGAAACAGACAGGCUAGAGGUGGAGGUAGAGGACGUUUCAGGAAACAGACAGACUAGAGGUGGAGAUAGAGGACGUUUCAGGAAACAGACAGGCUAGAGGUGGAGGUGGAGAUAGAGGACGUUUCAGGAAACAGACAG